Mycena vulgaris is the source of this 92-nucleotide non-coding RNA. Lineage: Eukaryota; Fungi; Basidiomycota; Agaricomycetes; Agaricales; Mycenaceae. The record is from the annotation of a GenBank genome assembly.
GACCUGGUGGUGUAGUGGUAACACAUGCUCUCUUUGUACUCCUUCAAGAUUUUUCAUGAGGCAGUUUCCCUGUUCGAUUCAGGGCCAGGCCG